RNAcentral lists this microRNA (22 nucleotides) under Cervus elaphus (red deer). Its description in RNAcentral is "cel-miR-2284d". The record is from RNAcentral. Lineage: Eukaryota; Metazoa; Chordata; Mammalia; Artiodactyla; Cervidae.
CAAAAAGUUCGUUUGGGUUUUU